Molecule: long non-coding RNA, 574 nt
Filed under: Homo sapiens (human)
Lineage: Eukaryota; Metazoa; Chordata; Mammalia; Primates; Hominidae
Description: HSALNT0347206
Source: RNAcentral
AGAAGAGAUAAGACUAGAGGCAGAGAUACUAGCUAAGAAGCUGUUGCAACAAUGAAAGAAGAAAUGAUGAGAACCUAAACUAAGGCAAUACUAAUAGAAGCAAAGAGAAGGGAAGAGAUUUCACAAGUUUAUAAGAAGAAAGUGAUGAGAACACCAAAGACAGAAUAUAUGGUUCUUCUAGAAGAUCCACUUUCAAUUUUACUAAAGUGAAUGACCCACUUUGAUGAAAAGAAUAAUGACUUCUAAGGUCUCUUACAACUCUAAUGUUACAAUUCUAUUGUUCCAUCUGGAAUUGCCUUUUGAAGACAGCACACCUGUGGCCUAAAACUUCCUUGGUGAACAUGUGAAAUAUUUUUUAAUGAAAGCCCAUUACAUAUAAAGCCAUACAACCCCAAACAUGCAGUGAUAAUGCUUAUAGCAAAGAAAAACCAAGUAAAGACACUAUCUACAUUUACCUACUCUGAUCCCAAUUGGCUGCAAACAGCAAAAGAAUCUUCCUGCCGUAAUGGUCUCGGUUUUCCAGCACCCCGGGGAACCCAUCGAUCAGAGCCCUCUUAAUGCCGGGAUCAUCUGC